CGAGGCGCGGCGUACAGCUCAGUAACACGUAGUUAACCUACCCUCGGGACGGAGACACCCCGGGAAACUGGGGCUAAUACCCGAUAGGUGAGGAGGCCUGGAAUGGUUUCUCACCGAAAGGAUGUUGAAACACGCUUUCAACCUUGCCCGAGGAUGGGGCUGCGUCCGAUCAGGUUGUUGGUGGGGUAACGGCUCACCAAGCCUAUAACCGGUACGGGCCGUGAGAGCGGGAGCCCGGAGAUGGAAUCUGAGACAAAAUUCUAGGCCCUACGGGGCGCAGCAGUCGCGAAAACUCCACAAUGCACGAAAGUGUGAUGGGGCUACCCCGAGUGCCGUCCGCUGAGGACGGCUUUUCUUCAGUGUAAUAAGCUGUAGGCAAUAAAGGGAGGGCAAGAAUGGUGUCAGCCGCCGCGGUAAAACCAACUCCCUGAGUGGUGGGGAUGAUUAUUGGGCUUAAAGCGUCCGUAGCUGGCCUGGUUAGUCCCGCGUUAAAUCCAGCGACCUAAUCGUUGGGAUGCGUGGGAUACGGUCAGGCUGGGGGGCGGG
This 546-nucleotide ribosomal RNA is filed under the name uncultured archaeon. RNAcentral describes it as "bacterial SSU rRNA". It matches the Rfam family "Archaeal small subunit ribosomal RNA", at positions 72 to 603 of the family's 1478-position model. The record is from RNAcentral.